UGCUGAGACUCCAUCCGUGGACAGUUUCUUACCCUCAGCUGAGAUGUCAUGGCCUAAGGAGUGAACUUCUUGUUUAACAAACUGCAAUUUGGACAAACUUGCUUUAUGACCUUCCUUGGCUAGGUGUUGAAGCAGUGCUAUGGUGUCGUUCUCACAUUGGUCUCUAGAUGGCACAUAAACCAUCAAAUCAUCAACAUAUUGGAGUAGGGCGGCGCCUGGAAAGAACACCAAGAACGGAAAGCAUAGAGCCAAAGCUACUGCUGAGGCUCACCAACAGGAGCACCACUCCUCUCCACUUCACAUGUCAAACAGGUUUGCUCUCCUUAGUGAUGCACCCACUGAGAAACCUGAAAGAGGUCUGGUCUUAGGGGACUCUAUCAUAAGGCACGUGAAAUUAGCUCAGCCUUUAGGGGCACCAGCAGCUUUAGUCAGGUGUAUACCAGGAGCCAGGGCACCAGACAUACAGUAGCAGGUAAUCUUAGGGUCCUAGGCAAGCACAGAUUCUCAAAAAUAGUUAUCCAUGCAGGAGCGAAUUAUAUACGCCUUCAUCAGUCUGAGGUUACUAAGAGUAACUUUGUAGAGGUGUUUAAAUUGGUGAAGGCGAUGUCUGAUGCUGUAGUAUGCUCUGGCCCCAUCCCAAUGCGGCAUGGCGAUGUAGCUUACAGCAGGUUAUGGUCACUAAACUGCUGGUUGUCCAGAUGGUGCUCUGAAAACAGUAUGGGCUUUAUAGAUAAUUGGGCUAAUUUUGAGGGCACUGCUGGCCUGUUAGGGUGGGAUGGUAUCCAUCCCACUUGGGAAGGUGCUAUUCUCAUUUCUUGCAGCAUAGGUCAUAGUCUCAGAACAGGCCUAGUUAAUUUCUGACAAUCCAGAGCCAAGGCCAGGGAGCAGACAAACAGGCUAAACUGACUGUCUGCUAGCUGCACAGAGUCGUCACUCAGGGUCCACUACAUCGAGACUGUGUCUGUUCCCCGAGCUCAACAAAAAAAUAGAAAUACUCAGAGUUUGUUCCAGUAACCUAAUCAAUAUAAAAUUAGAUCAUACUGACUGUACAGCCACUGGCAGCACCUUUGAUCUAAAGGUGGGGCUAUUAAAUAUUAGAUCUCUUACAUCUAAAGUGUUCAUGGUUAAUGAACUCAUUACUGAUCAGGAGUUUAAUGUACUGUGUUUAACAGAAACAUGGAUUAAACCAAAUGAAUAUAUGGCAUUAAAUGAAGCUAGUCCUCCUGGAUACUGUUACAUACACCAGCCUCGUCUAACUGGCAGAGGAGGAGGCAUCGCGGUUAUUUAUAAUGAUUAUCUAGGUGUAACACACAAACCUGGCUAUAAAUUUAAUACAUUUGAAAUUCUUCAUACUAAUAUAAAUGUAUGUAGCCUCAAAAAAUAAGUCUACCCAGUUAAUUCUAUUACCUAUUAUUUCCCGGCCCCUGGGGCCAUAUUCUGAGUUUCUUUCUGAAUUUGCAGAUUUUCUCUCAGACCUGGUUAUUUCCUUAGACAAAGUUGUUUAGUUGUCGGAGAUUUUAAUAUUCACUUUGAUAACCUGGAAGACCCUUUGAAAACAGCGUUUGUGUCCAUUUUAAAUUCAGAAGGGGUUAAUCACAAUGUCAUAGGACCGACCCAUAAUGGUGGUCACACCCUCGAUCUAAUACUAACAUUUGGGUUAAACGUAGAAAAUAUAGUCACACUUCCACAGUCUGAAGUUCUCAGAUCAUUAUCUCAUCUCAUUCAAAAUAUGUCUGAGUAAUAAUAUAUGCACCUCACCAUGCUACUGUAUUAAACGUACAUCCACAUCAACUACUGCACAGAGCUUUAUAAAUGAUCUCCCAGAGUUAUCAACUUUGACUGGGUCAUAAUCAGCCCCUGCAAAACUUGAUCAGGCAACUGAAUGCUUAGAGUCAACAUUCCACUAUACUUUAGAUAAUGUAGCUCCUUGUAAAAGGAAAAUGAUCAGAGAGAAAAAAAUUAGCACCCUGGUAUAAUGCUGACACUCGCACUUUAAAACAGACCACUCGAAAACUGGAACGUAAAUGGCGUCAAACAAAAUUGGUAGUGUUCAAAUUAGCAUGGAAGGAGAGCUUCCUGAUGUAUAGAAAAUCUCUUAGUGCUGCGAGAUCAACAUAUCUCUCCUCCCUAAUAGAAAAUAACAAAAAAUAAUCCUAGAUUCUUACUUAAUACUGUAGCAAAAUUAACCAGGAAUAAGUCCACUAUAGACACAUGCACACCUGUAGUAUGUAGUAGCAAUGACUUCAUGAAUUUUUUUUUAAUGAGAAAAUUGAGAAUAUCCGACAAAAAAUUCAAACUACUAAUUUAAGGUCAGACAAUGUAAGUGACCCUGUAGUUAACAAUAUAACCAUCAGAUGAGCAGUUAGAAUGUUUUACUCCCCACGCCUACUUAGAUCAAAAGGUGCAGGCUAUCUGCUGGUACCUCAUAUAGUGAAGGCUACAUCAGGGGGCAGAGCCUUUUCUUACAAAGCCCCACAGUUAUGGAACAGCCUUCCAAGUAGUGUUUGGGAAUCAGACACAGUCUCAGCAUUUAAGUCUAGGCUGAAGACAUACUGUAACUGUUUAGUCAAGCCUUUUGUUAAUGGUGUUUAUGAGGUAAAAGGUGUAGAUCUGGAGGGUCCUCAGACAUAGUGUGUUUUGGUAAACUGGGAUAUAUGGAUGCUGUCAGUCCCACACUUGCUUACUCACUCGAGUUUGUUGAUGGUGUAGUGCCUGGCUGCUUUAUGUCCUGGGGCUCCCUCAUGCCUGUGUUAGCUUCUGGCUUUUCCCUUUUAGUUAUACUGUCAUAGUUAGUUUUGCCAGAGUCCCUGCUUGUACUCAGUGCAAUAUGUAUACUGUACCUACUUAUUCAGGUGACAUUGGACAUACCCAACAGCCUGUGUUUUCUCUCUCUCCCCCUCCCCCCCCAAUCUGUCUCUCUGAGUUACAUGUCAAUCCUGGGAUCAAGGUGCUGACCUCUUCUGCUCCUCGGACCUGUCUGAUCCAUCCUGAUGCCCCAUGUUUGGUUGGAGUCUCAUUAUAUCGCUCCUGUGGAGGACGGCCCCAUAUGGACAGUUGAAAGUCACACUUGGAAGUUCUGGACACUUACAGUAAUGCUUUUGUGCCUGAGGACUACAGUUGACUUGCUAACUUUAGGACUGCGGUUGUCAUGAACAGUUUUGCACUCAAGUUUCCGUUAAUGAAGAGUUAUAACAUCAAUGAAACUGACUUCAUGUUAAAACUGU
This is a long non-coding RNA of Neoarius graeffei (lesser salmon catfish), 3224 nucleotides long. RefSeq lists it as uncharacterized. Lineage: Eukaryota; Metazoa; Chordata; Actinopteri; Siluriformes; Ariidae. The record is from RefSeq and is a predicted model, not a curated record. The transcript has 2 exons.